Molecule: ribosomal RNA, 254 nt
Filed under: uncultured bacterium
Lineage: Bacteria
Description: partial 16S ribosomal RNA
Rfam family: Bacterial small subunit ribosomal RNA
Source: RNAcentral
UACAGAGGUCUCAAGCGUUGUUCGGAUUCAUUGGGCGUAAAGGGUGCGUAGGUGGCGCCAUAAGUCAGGUGUGAAAUCUCGGGGCUCAACCUCGAAACUGCACUUGAUACUGUGGUGCUUGAGUACUGGAGAGGAGAUUGGAAUUUACGGUGUAGCAGUGAAAUGCGUAGAUAUCGUAAGGAAGACCAGUGGCGAAGGCGAAUCUCUGGACAGUUACUGACACUGAGGCACGAAGGCCAGGGGAGCAAAACGGG